UACAGAGGUCUCAAGCGUUGUUCGGAUUCAUUGGGCGUAAAGGGUGCGUAGGCGGCAGCGCAAGUCAGGUGUGAAAUCCCGGGGCUCAACCCCGGAACUGCACUUGAUACUGCGUUGCUAGAGUACUGGAGAGGAGACUGGAAUUCUCGGUGUAGCGGUGAAAUGCGUAGAUAUCGAGAGGAACACCUGCGGCGAAGGCGGGUUGCUGGGCUGACACUGACGCUGAUGCGCGAAAGCCAGGGGAGCGAACGGG
This 253-nucleotide ribosomal RNA is filed under the name uncultured bacterium. Its description in RNAcentral is "partial 16S ribosomal RNA". It matches the Rfam family "Bacterial small subunit ribosomal RNA", at positions 524 to 776 of the family's 1533-position model. The record is from RNAcentral.